Equus caballus (horse) is the source of this 3652-nucleotide long non-coding RNA. Lineage: Eukaryota; Metazoa; Chordata; Mammalia; Perissodactyla; Equidae. The record is from Ensembl.
CUGCCUUUGGGCUCCUCCUCCCCCCAUGCACCCCAGGCUCGCUGCUGCACAGACUCACUUGCCUCCCUCGUUGCCAAAUCCAACACUUGCUUUCCAGCGCUCUUCUUGCCUUCCCCUCAGACCUCCUUCUUGAACCACUCUUUCUCUGCCAAUCCAGAAUUCUCACCAGACUCUCCUUCCUCGACAGUGCCUCUUCCUUUGCCUGUCCCUCAUCGGCCUGCUCUCCUUCUACCCUAUGGCAAGCUCCAGGCAAUGCCAUCCCCUUUGGCCUCUGCUGAGGACCCUCUAUCCUCUAUCUGCCCUGCCUUCCCCCAAAGCUACACAACCACGUAUCGCACUGCCACUCGACCUCUCCCUCUGAAUGUUCCACAGCUCCCUUAACCUUGAAGGAAUUGAAACAGACCUCAUCAUUUCCAAGACUGUAGCCCACAGGCUUCCUCCUUCAACCUGACCCUCAUGCUCCCCAUCCCCAGGAAAGGCACCACCAUCCAGACACUUUGCAAGCUGAAAACAGUCAUUUUCAGCUCCUCCCCACACCCCACUGCCCUAUGAUAUCUGUUACAGAGGCCUGGCUGGUUGACCUUGUAAGAUCAAUCCCCAUGGCCAGUGCCUGGUCCAAAGCCCCAGUGCACGGUUGCAUAUUCUAGCUGUAAGUCCUCUGGUUCUUCUGUGUGAGCCCCUGCCACAGCAUGGCUACUGACAGACGGGUGGUGUGGUUCUACCACCGGGAAGCGAACCUGGAAGUGAGAGUGCCAAACUCUAACCACUAGGCCAUCAGGGCUGGCUCUCAGAGCAUCCCCUUUUAUAUAUCCUCUUGCAUUAGCUUCCUGUAUCCCUUACAGCUGCUUCUCAAACUUAAAUGUGCAUUUGAAUAACCUGGGGGGGGGGGACUUUAAAAACUCUUCAUGACCAGGUCCAACAUAGACCAAUUAAAUCAGAACUCCUGGAUGUGGGGUUCAGACAUCAGCAUUUUUUAAGGUGAUUGCAACAUACAGCCAAGGCUAAGAACCACUGUAAUAAAGACUUUGAGCUGCAAAUAACAUGUCUGGGGCUCGAGUUAGGUCAAUCAGUGGCUCUGAAACUUUAGCAUGCAUCAGAGUCACUUAGCGGGCUUGUUACAAUACAGAUUGUCAGGCCCCCACCUCCAGAGUUUCUGAGUCAGCAGGUCUGGGAUGGAUUCCAUGCAUUUGCAAUGGUGCUUGUCCAGGGCUCACACUUUGAGAACCAAUGCUUAAACAAUGAGGAAAUUUAUGGUUUCACCUAACACAGAUGCAAGGGGUAGGGAGGGCUCCAGUUAGUGCAAGGUGGAUCUUCAACUGCAAAUUGAAGUUGUGCUUCCAUUCAUUCUUUGGCUCCUGCUUUCUGGUGAGGCCAAGUUUCCCAGCAGAUGUUCAAGGUGCUUUGGGGCUGGGCCCCGCUACCCCUCCAGCCUCAUUUCUCUCCACAGCCUCCUUCCCUUCACAUUCCAAGGAGUCCUGAAUCUCCAGUGGUUCUUGGGAUGUUUCAUUCGGCUUUGCCCUCGCAAGGCAUGAUCAGCCCAGGAGGGAGGCGGCAUAGGUUUUUCUGUCUCCCAGCACAUGCCCCCUCCCACUGCAUCCUUUCCUAUGGCACCAUCUGCAACACUCACCCAGACCAGCUGGCACGGUCACUCCCUUCUGCACAGGAAUCACUUACUUCUACCUCCACACCUUUGUUCAUGACUCACUUCCCACCCAGAAUUCCCUCCUACCCUCUGCUUCACCUGUCUAAAUACUCACCCUAAAGGGACAGCCAAGUCUCACUGUCCCUCAGGAUCCACCAGCACAUCUCUUUCCCUGAUCUGCCCAGCUUUCCCAAAUCCUGCUUUGUGUCAUUAGCUGUCCUUCCGAGUAUUGGCCUUGGCCUCCAACUGGGCUGUAUGACACUUGAGGGUGAGGGCAAGGCCUUUCCACAGCCCAGUGGCAAGGUGGGAGGAGCAUGGAUCUUGGAAUGUAGCAGACUCCAGUUGGACUCUGGGUUCUCUGGCUGGCUUCCUCGUUGACCUUGGGUAAGUUACUUGACCUGAGCCUAGUUUUUUUUCACCUGUUUACGUUAGUUCAUAGCAUCACUUGUCUUAAGGCCGCUCUAAAGAUCAACUGAACUCAUCGAUGUGAAAGAAUCUUGUAGUCUCCACUGAGCUGUACAGAGCUGAGCCCUACUCUUGCUUCUCCUUGUCCCCACAUCAAUAGAUUGGAGUCACAGACCUGCAUGUGUCCCUAGGUUCACUCUUCACCCGCACAACCUCUGGAAAGUCACUUAAUGAGCACCUCCUAGAGCAUCAGUCUCCUAAUCUGUGGGAUGGGAAUGUGAGAAAAUGCAAUGGAAUGCAAAGCUCAAUAAAUGUCACAUGCAAAAUGCUUGGUGAAUGAAAUUCUUCUUAAAAGUACAGCUUCGUCUCUAGGUGGUGGAGAAACUGGUCCAUCAUUGGGCCUACAGUUCUGAAUAGCAAAUUAAGGAGGAAAAACGCCAGGAUGCUCUGGAUACCUCCUCCCAGCCCUCCCCACCUCACUGCCCACAGCUGAGUCAAUGCCAAUCUCCCCUUCCCUCCAAGGACAAAAGGGAAGGAAAUGAGGCCACUUUACUUGCUCUCUGACUGGAUCUGUUUCCUCAGCCGGGGUUGCUGGCGUGUCUGUCUGUCAUCUAGUCUCUGCAGCAGCCUCUCUCCUCAGAGAGUCCUGCACCAUCUGGAGAGGCGCCCUCGUGGACAUGGAAAUGUUCAAAUCUGGAAUCCCUGGCCCUGGUACUUCCACUCGCUCUGGGGUGCGGGGCUGGGAAGCCCACGGAGCAUGCCUAUUCUGGGAACAUUCCCUCUCCAGUUAAGCAGGUCUAAUCCAAAUUCUAUCAAAUUAGUCUUUCAGAAUAGCUCCUUUAUGGUGAAAUCCGAAUAAGCUCUGUAGAUGGUAUCAACGCCAAUUUCCUGAUUUGGAUAUUGUGUCACAGUUAUGUAAGAUGUUAGCAUUGGGGGAAACUGGGCGAAGGGUACAUGGAACCUUCCUGUUCAUUUUUUUCAACUCCCUGUGAAUCUAUAAUUAGUUCAAAGUAAAAAAUGUCCUGUUAAAAAUCUCAUUUUCAACUUCCUUUCCACUCCCCAGCCACCCAUUAUCACUUCCCUCUUGGAUACUUGCGACCACCCCCUGGUUUUCCUCCUGUCUUUAGUCUUGGCUCACGCUGGCCCUCCCAGAGAAUCUCUGAGACCGGAUCUUGCCCUGUCUUGCCCUGUAAUAACCGGCGGGGGCUCCUCUCUGGUUGCGGGAGUGAGCCGGCACUCAAGGCCCUCCAGACACUUCCAAUCUUAUCUGCGGCUGUUUAUUUUGCUGUGCCCCGGUUCCCCACCGUGUCUCUCCAUUUCAGGUCUUUGCGGAGAGAGUCCCGCGCUCGAGCCCAGGACUACCCUUUCCCUCUCCAUUAACUGUAAAAGCCCCGGAGUUUCCCGUUAAAGAGAGUAAUAACGCCGCCUUGCCUCCCUGAAAGGAUCCAGUCUGUGACGGCUGCAACAACGCCUUUAAUAAACGAUUAUCAGUAACUUGUUCAAGGGAAAGCCUGAGCGGGGCCUGCACAUCUUCGCCCCAGCCCUCGGCGACAACAAGGCCUCAGCAGCCAGGCCCCUCUAACGAGCAGGCCCCGCCCCCGAGAC